GUGAUCAAUUAUGUUUUUGUUGUUCAGGAAAAUGCUAGUUUUUAUGAGCAUUCUUUUCUGUGUAUGUAGUUACACUGGAAAGCAAUAUGUUUUAAAAUUAUUGUAUCCUAAGUAGUCGUGGAAGCCCCAGUAUUGAAAAAGUUAAGCCUAAAAGUUAUGUUUCUUAUGAAGUUUUACAUUCAUUUUAGUCAUAUUAUUCUUCCUUUCAAGGAGUAUCUCCAUGGUGGUCAAAACCCACAGAAAUUGAUAUCAUCUCUUCUGACUACAAGUUUACAUGUGUUUUGUGGAAUGAAUGGCUUGGACAAAAGCACUGGUAAAUCACCUGAAACAAAACUGCCUGACACUCAAAUAGCUGCUAAUGGUGUUUCUAUAGCAACUCCCCAGGGAGUUUUCCUGUUAUCUGGGUGAAGUUAACUGGAAACAAGUAAAUAUACUUGAGAUGAAGUGGUAUUGGGGAAGACUGAUGAGUCCUUCAGAGCAUGAUCUGAAAAAAAGCUGAACUAUUUGCAGAAUCUUCCUCACUGAAAGAAGCUUGAAGCUCCUGCAGUCAAAGAUUUUGCCUAAAGUACACUUGUCCUCUGUUGUGCCAGCACACUCCCAGGUACAGGAAAAAUUUUCUGCAUUUAUAAUAAAGCAUAUGGAGCUCAAACUGGCCA
Molecule: long non-coding RNA, 656 nt
Filed under: Chloebia gouldiae (Gouldian finch)
Lineage: Eukaryota; Metazoa; Chordata; Aves; Passeriformes; Passeridae
Description: Erythrura gouldiae (Gouldian finch) lncRNA (ENSEGOG00005016580.1)
Source: RNAcentral